RNAcentral lists this ribosomal RNA (473 nucleotides) under uncultured bacterium. RNAcentral describes it as "bacterial SSU rRNA". It matches the Rfam family "Bacterial small subunit ribosomal RNA", at positions 915 to 1391 of the family's 1533-position model. The record is from RNAcentral.
GGGGGCCCGCAAGCGGUGGAGCAUGUGGUUUAAUUCUAAGCAACGCGCAGAACCUUACCAUCCCUUGACAUGUCGUGCCAUCCGGAAAGAUCCGGGGUUCCCUUCGGGGACGCAAACACAGGUGCUGCAUGGCUGUCGUCAGCUCGUGUCGUGAGAUGUUGGGUUAAGUCCCGCAACGAGCGCAACCCACGUCCUUAUUUGCCAUCAUUCAGUUGGGCACUCUAGGGAGACUGCCGGUGAUAAGCCGCGAGGAAGGUGUGGAUGACGUCAAGUCCUCAUGGCCCUUACGGGAUGGGCUACACACGUGCUACAAUGGCGGUGACAGUGGGACGCGAAACCGCGAGGUUGAGCAAAUCCCCAAAAACCGUCUCAGUUCAAAUUGCACUCUGCAACUCGAGUGCAUGAAGGCGGAAUCGCUAGUAAUCGUGGAUCAGCAUGCCACGGUGAAUACGUUCCCGGGCCUUGUACACACC